RNAcentral lists this ribosomal RNA (239 nucleotides) under uncultured bacterium. Its description in RNAcentral is "partial 16S ribosomal RNA". It matches the Rfam family "Bacterial small subunit ribosomal RNA", at positions 92 to 334 of the family's 1533-position model. The record is from RNAcentral.
CGAGUGGCGGACGGGUGAGUAAUGCUUGGGGAUCUGGCUUAUGGAGGGGGAUAACGACGGGAAACUGUCGCUAAUACCGCGUAGAAUCGAGAGAUGAAAGUGUGGGACCUUCGGGCCACAUGCCAUAGGAUGAACCCAAGUGGGAUUAGGUAGUUGGUAGGGUAAUGGCCUACCAAGCCGACGAUCCCUAGCUGGUCUGAGAGGAUGACCAGCCACACCGGGACUGAGACACGGCCCGG